AAACGAUGGAUGCCCGUUUUUGGCUUAUAAAGUCAGAGACCAAGCGAAAGCAUUAAGCAUCCCACCUGGGGAGUACGCCGGCAACGGUGAAACUCAAAGGAAUUGACGGGGGCCCGCACAAGCGGAGGAACAUGUGGUUUAAUUCGAUGAUACGCGAGGAACCUUACCCGGGCUUGAAUUGCCAGUGAACGAGAUAGAGAUAUCGAGGCCCUUCGGGGCGCUGGUGAAGGUGCUGCAUGGCUGUCGUCAG
This 250-nucleotide ribosomal RNA is filed under the name uncultured bacterium. RNAcentral describes it as "partial 16S ribosomal RNA". It matches the Rfam family "Bacterial small subunit ribosomal RNA", at positions 804 to 1058 of the family's 1533-position model. The record is from RNAcentral.